GGGGACAUCUGUUACUUGAGCCGUAGCAGGAGCUUCAUGAACUUGCUCAUUAGUGAUGACAUGCGGUCCACUCUGUUCCAUCAUAGGCUGCUCUGGUAAUUUAGCAUCCUGUCCCUGUAUUUCCUUUGCACUAUUUUUAUCUAUCUCCAAAUGCAAGUUGCUAGUUGCAUCCCUUUCUGAAAGGAUAUCAACAUUAUAUUGUGCAGGUGAGUGUUUCACCUGAUGCAUACCCAGGGCUGGAUUGCUGUUAUCAAAACAACCACUACGAGAAACAGCACUCACUGUUCCCUUCCUUCCGUCCUUGCUCUUGUGUAUACUGCUUUUCUCCAC
RNAcentral lists this long non-coding RNA (330 nucleotides) under Musa acuminata (dwarf banana). Its description in RNAcentral is "long non-coding RNA (MACU_LNC005032)". The record is from RNAcentral. Lineage: Eukaryota; Viridiplantae; Streptophyta; Magnoliopsida; Zingiberales; Musaceae.